GACGUAGGAGGCAAACGUUAUCCGGAUUUACUGGGCGUAAAGCGCGUGUAGGUGGUUCUGUAAGUAGGGCGUGAAAGCUCCCGGCUCAACUGGGAGAGGCCGUUCUAAACUGCAGAGCUAGAGGAUGGUAGAGGGAGGUGGAAUUCCAGGUGUAGCGGUGGAAUGCGCAGAUAUCUGGAGGAACACCAGUGGCGAAGGCGGCUUCCUGGUCUGUAACUGACACUGAGGCGCGAAAGCGUGGGGAGCAAACAGGAUUAGAUACCCCGGUAGUCCCU
Molecule: ribosomal RNA, 275 nt
Filed under: uncultured prokaryote
Description: partial 16S ribosomal RNA
Rfam family: Bacterial small subunit ribosomal RNA
Source: RNAcentral